RNAcentral lists this ribosomal RNA (253 nucleotides) under uncultured bacterium. RNAcentral describes it as "partial 16S ribosomal RNA". It matches the Rfam family "Bacterial small subunit ribosomal RNA", at positions 524 to 776 of the family's 1533-position model. The record is from RNAcentral.
UACGUAGGGUGCAAACGUUGUUCGGAAUUACUGGGCGUAAAGCGCAUGUAGGCGGCCUAGCAGGUCGGAUGUGAAAGCCCUCGGCUCAACCGAGGAAGUGCAUUCGAAACCGCAAGGCUUGAGUCCCGGAGAGGGUAGUGGAAUUCUCGGUGUAGAGGUGAAAUUCGUAGAUAUCGAGAGGAACACCGGUGGCGAAAGCGGCUACCUGGACGAGGACUGACGCUGAGAUGCGAAAGCGUGGGGAGCAAACAGG